AGAUUCCUACGGGGGGCAGCAGUGAGGAAUAUUGGUCAAUGGCCGCAGGGCUGAACCAGCCAAGUCGCGUGAGGGAAGACUGCCCUAUGGGUUGUAAACCUCUUUUGUCAGGGAGCAACGCCGGCUACGUGUAGCCGGACUGAGAGUACCUGAAGAAAAAGCAUCGGCUAACUCCGUGCCAGCAGCCGCGGUAAUACGGAGGAUGCGAGCGUUAUCCGGAUUUAUUGGGUUUAAAGGGUGCGUAGGCGGAAUGCCAAGUCAGCGGUAAAAUCGCGGGGCUCAACCUCGCUCCGCCGUUGACACUG
This 305-nucleotide ribosomal RNA is filed under the name uncultured bacterium. RNAcentral's name for it is "bacterial SSU rRNA". It matches the Rfam family "Bacterial small subunit ribosomal RNA", at positions 333 to 635 of the family's 1533-position model. The record is from RNAcentral.